Molecule: non-coding RNA, 3513 nt
Organism: Punica granatum (pomegranate)
Lineage: Eukaryota; Viridiplantae; Streptophyta; Magnoliopsida; Myrtales; Lythraceae
Source: RefSeq, a predicted model, not a curated record
GUGCUUUUCUCGACUGGGAAGCUAUGGACAAGCAUUCUAUGAGUUGGUUGUUCACCUAUAUUACUGUUUUAUCUACUUGUAGUGUUGCAGCCAUGGAGAUGUUUGUUGAUGGUCAUUUAGUCGCCGGCGCUCUUUCUCCAUGGGGCAUGCUUUUGGGAUCAUUCGAGCUCAUCUUAGCUUAUGAUCGAUCGAUUCGUAUGCGAUAUGGCUGGGGUUCCAUAUGGGUUAGAUGACCAUCAACAAACACCUCCACCCGACUGCAUUUACUUAGAAUCAUUACUGAUAUGAUUCUCUCUAUUCCAUUUUGGUUGUCGCCAAAUUGACCUUUUCAUCUGGCAAGUCACACAACUUACCCUUAAUUUUUCUAAUUUCAUGUAAAGGCACUUGUUCACAUACAUUGGAUGUGUAUUCUAUUGAAUGCCUCCAUGCUUCCAGAGCUCCAGGCUGCUCCAAUGGCGAUUAGGUAAGACCUCAGCACCCUUGAAACCAAGCGGAGAAGCCAAGAUUGGGGGUUGUGUUAAAGGGUCAGACUUGGCCCUCCAGCUUGUCAAAUGAGCGAUGGCAAUGGUAGAGAGCCAGAAACACAAUUGAGAGAGAGUUGGAGAAGAGAAAGAAAGUUUGGAAGGAAAAAAAUGAGAGGAUUCAAUUAGAAUUACCUGUUGUUGAAUGUCGACCCAUGUAUUCAUAUCCUACCUGGUGCUGAUCGAUGUGUCCUCUCCGAAACCAAGAACUUAACCCACUAUACAUGAAUGCUUCCUUUCAAAAACGCUAGCUUAAUUAAACCCAUGAUGCUAUUUAGCGGUCAGGCUUGCCCUUUGAAUUGUCCCUGCAGCCUUCUUAAGUGGGCACGAUCUGACCAUGUCCUAAUCCGACUUUGGACUUCCUCUGGACAGGCUAAGUUCUAGUGCCUCCCAUGCUUGAGUCGGGUUCUAUCUCCAAUUCUGGUAAUAUAUCCAGGUAUGAUAUUUAUGAAGAUAAUUGGUUUCAUCUUAUGAUCUACCUAUGCGACGCGGAUUCUCAUAAUUGAAUCAGUAAUGUCCAGGUAGGACUUAAUAACACCAAUUUCAACACUUAACUAAAUUUAACUUGUUUGUUUAGUAUAAAAAAAUGAUUAAUUUAUUGAUCAGAAGGGGGGAGAUGAAGGCUCCAACUGCGGCCACCACCAGCCCGGAUGAGCUAUUUAGUCCUUGCCCCUUCGUUGCUUGAGUUAGGCUUUCAGGUUUAAGUAAUAUCCAUAUGAUAUGCAAUUAUGAAGAAGAGCCGAAUUCAUCGUUUGGAUCUGCCCAUGGGGGUCAUGGUGAAGAUUCUCAUGGUGAAGAUUCUUGAAACCAAAUUUAUAAUGUACAAUUCUUAGAGAACUUUCCUUGAAAAUAUUUCUAGACAACAGAACCAUAUAAGCGUAAUUCAAAUAAAGAUUCUUGCCACUUAUUGAUAGUAGAAUGCUUGUCGACGCAUCGAAAGAUGAACUGGAAUUUAUUUGCGUUAUUUCCUUUGAUUGCGGUGAUUUUCGAGUUCAGUUCUGCAUGAAAAAGGCAAUUGAUGCGUAUAGCACCCGCUCUGCUUCAGUUCGACAGUGUUAAGGAUCGGAAAAUCGACCCGAUCCGUCCGGUUUAUUUUACCACUAUGGGUCCAUCUUGAUACGCCCAUAUUGGUAAUUAAAUCCUAUUAAGGAUAUUUAUCUAUCUAUAUUUCUAGAAUGUUCUAUCAAUAUCUUUAUGAGAUAUCUCUACUCUUAUAUUUGACAAAUAUAUCUACAUGUUGUAUGCAAUCAAAUAUUUGAUGCAGAUUACAAUAUCCAGAUACGGAUAUCCUAUACAUCUCUAUAAAUACUUCUCUAGGUAUCCCUAAACCCUAAAUUCAAUUCUCUAUUCUUUCUCGCACACGCUCUCAUUUAAGCAUCAGAGAGAGAAAUCGAGAUUCCCUCUCGAUCUCCCCUUUUGCAGGUUGUUCGUGUGGUAUUAAUGGAAGCUCGAAGCUCGUGCCUUGCACAUGAUCAAGACCCGAUUUGUCACAACCCCAACAUUGCCGACGUCCGUGGGAAACGACACAAAAAAUCAUCUCCAUCGGCUAUUUUUCACCACUGAGAAGAAAUUAUGGAUUUGACCAAAAAAUGCAGCAAACUCCCAAGCUGGGAACGACAAAUCUCAGGGGACUCUUGACCCUUCACAAUAGGUUGCAACAAACAACCAGGUGCAGUCGACUUGUCCAAAUCCGUCGCCGCCACAGCACAACUUGAACGUGAUUCGACUGGAUUAGCUAGCACCAGAUGUUUGAUCAAUGGUGGAGGCAAUCAUCGUGAUCUCUGAUACCCCCCAGGUUAACUUGGAAGAUCGUGCGGUGACGAAUCGAGUCGAAGACGAUGCUGUCUCCUCCCAGCAUCGGCCUAAAUCUCCCUCCAAAGGGGACUUUGAGAAGCUGCCGGUGACAUACCUUCGCUGAUAACAAUUCCUCCUGGACCAGGUGCGGUUCUUUCUCCAAAGGAUAUCCAGGGUCUAGCGGCAGAACAUGUAAUUAGGGUAUUGCUGGCUAUAGAGCAGCAACAGCAAGGGCUUACCCCUUAUUGAAGAGGAUUCUAAGUCGCCCAUUUUCAAGGAGAUUCUUCACGCUAAAGUGGCCCAUAAGUUUACUCCCCUCAUAUUGCUUUGUAUGAUGGGAAGAUAGACUGAUGAACCAUGUUCACAGCCACGUAGCUUCGCUCUUAGGAAGAGUGUCGGAGCAAGUGCAAUGCCUUAUGUUCCCAGGAACUCUUACUGGAGCCACAAAAAAUUGGUUCCACUCUUUGCAACUUGGCUUUAUAACAAGUUUCAAGCAAUGAAAGAAUUGUUCCAGCAAAAGUUCGCGAGCAUGUGAUAGGCAAAGAUGAGUAUUGUUGAGUUGUUUUCUACGGAGCAAAGGGAGAAGGAAUCCCUUUGCGACUGGUAUGAUCGAUUUUUUAAGGUUUUGACUAUGGUGGAAGGAUUAACGCAAUGCGAGGCAAUGACUGCCUUCCAAAGGGGCUUGAGGAACGAGGACCUCGCAAAGAGCUUGGUCAUCACACCACCAAGUAGCUUCGCCGACAUCUUUGCUCGUGCACGAAAGUUCAUUACCGUCGAGGAGUCCAUCUCGACAAGGAAGAAGAAGGAGCACGUGGGUGAAAAACGAAAGGAACCUCAUGACAAUCGGUCCAAUGAGAAGUGACCGCUCUUCCAAUUUGAGAAGCUAACACCCCUCAAUGCACCUAAGGCGGUUAUCCUCCAAGAGAUGGAGCGACUUCGUCUAGCGAAGCCCCCUCCGCUGAAAAAAAGAUAAGUCUUUGGGUAAUAAUGUAGAUCAAUAUUGCAGGUUUCACAAAGGCAUGUAGACAUGACAUUGAGCGUUGUCACAUGCUUAAGUUUGAAAUUAAGAAGCCGAUUCGACAAGGACACCUAAAGUCCUUUGUCCAGAGUGAAUCUCUUCAUGAUUGUGAGCAUAGAGAUGCACGCUUGGAUACCCUACAAGGAGUGAUUAAUAAAAGGUGUUAAGCUAUUGUCACAA